GGAAACCGCUGUUUAUCACCGCGACGCUCGGCAGCGCGAGACAGAGAUGACCGCCGCUCGCUAACCGACCCGACUUCACGAUGUCCAGCGGCGGCUUCGCGUCACAGAACGGCGCCGGAGGCUCGUACGCGAAUGCUCCUCCUGCGCUGAAUGUUAUGACUCCCCCUCAGACAUUUGGUCCUCCUCCUCAAGGGGCCGGACCUCCUCUUCCUCCUCCAGCGGCUGUGAGAGGAACACCUCCUCUUCCUCCUCCUGCAUUCGGUCCUCCUCUUCCUCCUCCAGCGGCUGUGAGAGGAACACCUCCUCUUCCUCCUCCUGCAUUCGG
This is a long non-coding RNA of Cyprinus carpio carpio, 325 nucleotides long. Lineage: Eukaryota; Metazoa; Chordata; Actinopteri; Cypriniformes; Cyprinidae. The record is from Ensembl.